This is a non-coding RNA of Callithrix jacchus (white-tufted-ear marmoset), 13235 nucleotides long. The record is from RefSeq and is a predicted model, not a curated record. NCBI's taxonomy places the organism in Eukaryota, Metazoa, Chordata, Mammalia, Primates, Cebidae.
AGUAACCAGACAGUAAUAAUAAUUUAUAUCAUCUUUUGGCUACUCUAUAAGUACAUUUUAAAAUUUAACUUUAUCUUCUGAGUCACUCUUACUACUCCUAUUUGAAAGAUGAAGAAAUUGAAGCUGAUGGAAAUUAAGAGAUUUGCUCAAUGACAUGAGCCAACGUGGGACUCAGAUCUAUGCCUGUGUGAUUUCCCAGUAGUGCUUUUAAUCAUGAUGCUCCUGGGGCCUUGGUUUGCAUAGAAACUUCUUGAUAGAUGUGAGAAGAACCUUGGGGACAGUUGAGAGCAACGCAGAGUAGAAGUAAAGAUCUCAAGCACUGGGCGGUCUGACUAAGUGUCCACCGACGAGCCGCCCGAGUGGUGUGGAAGGAAUUGGGGAAUAAGGACCUGUCCAUCUUAGAGCUCUUUAUUACGGUUGGGGAACUCAGAUAGCUGGAGCCUUGGAGGCAGUGGGUACUUCCAUGAGUUAUGGAAAUAGGCAGUGCCAGCAGUAAAUUCAAUUUGUUCUGAAACAUCCCUGUUAUUCAUUCCUAGGGCCAACACCCAUAAUUGCCCUCUAUGUCAGGGUGAGUGGACAAGGGACAAAGUGAGUACCUGGACACAGUCCUCCGACUUCCCAGGAGAAACAGAUGCAUUUUUUCUGAUUCCCCACAGAGGUUGAAUGGGUUAGUGGCAUUUCUGGCUGCUUCUUUCACCCUAGUAGCCUAAACUCUAGAGGGCUAUCUGAGUCCUAGUGUUUCCACACGUUGAUGUUUUAGGGUUCUAUAAAGGCCAUUUGGAAGAUUUUUCUCAGUGGGAUGCCUAGAGAUGUCUCCUUCAGUUGCAACGUCUUAAAAAUGGAUGUCUUUUGAUUGGCAUAAGUUCAUUCAGGUCCUUCUGGAAUUUCCAUUGCAAAUGUCUAACGUGCUUGAAAUUAUGGCUGUCUCAGACAGCAGUGAGUGCUGCUUCAAGCACCUUGACCAUCAGUCACUGGACUGUGGGAGGGAGUUUUAAAGGCUUUGUGCAUCUGGCCUCCUCUCCUGACCCCAUUUUCCAGGCAGGAAUCUAACAUCAACCACACUGACACAUGGGAGCUCUUUCAGCAUUUCAAUUGCUAACAUUGAGCGUGUCUAGUUUCACACUGAGCCCACACCCAACACCUUUCUAUCAUCCCACUUCACUUGAUAUAAUGCUUGUUUUAAUUAUAUAUAGUUGACUUCAUAAUUUAUUUGACAUGGUGGGUAAUAUGGUUUGGCUGUGUCCCCACUCAAAUCUCAUCUUCAAUUGUAGCUUCUAUAAUUUCCAUGUUUUGUGGGAAGGACCCAGUGGGAGACAAUUGAAUCAUGGGGGCUGUUUUCCUCAUCCUGUUCUCAUGGUGGUGAAUAAAUCUCACAAGAUCUGCUGGUUUUAUAAGGGGAAACCCCUUUCACUUGGCUCUCAUUCUCUUCCCUUGUCUGCUGCCAUGUGAGAUGUGCCUUCAGCCUUCCACCAUGAUUGUGAGGCCUCCCCAGCCACCAGGAACUGUGAGUCCAUUAAACCUCUCUCUUUUGAAAAUUGCCCAGUCUCGGUUAUGUCUUUAUUUAGAGUGCGACAGCAGACUAAUACAGUGGGGCAGGGAGGAUAAUUGCCUUUAUGAAUUUAGCAAAUAUUUCUUGGGCACUUUUUUUAAAUGCCUGGCACUCCUCAGGGUUCUGGGGAUACAAUGGCAAGUCCAGCAGUCAAGUUCUCACUGAGCUUACCUUCCAGUGGAUAGCUGCAGAAAGCAAAUAUGUGCUGUAUGAGUUGGUGAUAAAUGCUGUUAGGGAAAAAGGGUAGGGUGAAGCAGACAGGGAGCUGCUGGGAUGGGGGAUGCAAUUUCAUACUGGGCAUUCAGGGAUGCUCUUCCUGGCAUUUGAGGGAGAGAGAUAGAUGUAGGAGAUCAAGCCAUGCGGAAUCUGGGAAAACAUUUCAAGCAGAGACAAAACAAAUACCAAGGUGCUAAGACAGGAGCCUGCAUGCCAUUUCCGGAGAAAGACAGGGAGCCUGGUGUGGCUGAAAGAUGAAGGCUGGAAUAGUAGAGACUGAGGAUUAAGAGGAAGUCAAGCCAUGCAAGUCCUAUACAACCAUGGGAGGAGACCUGGUGUAACAGCCAUUUCAGCAUGGUGGCUUCCAACUUUGACCUUGUUCUCAAGGUCAGUUUCUACAAAUCUUAGUCUCUUCAUCUUUGAUUUUCAUCCUUUAAUGAAAGUCAAAGCCACCAGAGUAUUUGAGAAGCGGGGUAACGAGACUUGACUUUGUUCUAGAAGAUUUCUCAGGCAAUAGUUCUACAAUGUUUCUAUCUGCCACUGGAUGAAACAGACUGCUUUUUUGUAGAGGAGGUUGAUUAAAUAAAUACAUCAAAUUAAAUGGGAAGACUAAUUUUCUAGGAUCAUUUUCAUGCACGCUUAUCCUAGAUUUAGCAGAAACAUGUGCACUGAUAUUUAAAAUGGCUCCAAAUACUUAUUAUUUACAUAAAAUAAGUAGUAAACACCUAAAACAAACUAACGCAGUCUGAUCCUUUCAACUUUUGGUCUUUCAUUCCUUAUUUGUAAUGCAAACUGUCCUGGAAGAGGGUACUACGUAUUUCAGCUGCAUAAAAUGUAUGGAUGGCAUCAAAUUAUGAGGGCUUACGCUCAGUUAUUUUUAGAGGAAGAGACUGUUAAAAUCUGGGGUAAAUUAUACUUAAGUCAAAGACUAAAAGAUGAAAUUUCAAUAUAUACCUGAAAAAAGUCUUAGUUAUGAGUUACCAUCAGUUUUAGAAAUAGUGAUUGUUCACAGUCAUAUCCAAUUUGAAAUAUAAAUAGAAAAUGAUUUCUUUUCCUAUUUGCUUGAAUCAGAACAAAAUAUCAGAACACCAUAACAUUUCCUGUCUUUCGUUUUUGACUUUUUGAUAAUUUUUUAUUCCUAUACACUUGGGAAAUUUAUUGGAAUAAAAAGUGAAAUACAUAUGCCCCCAAAAACUUGUUAGUAAAAUUAUGAUGAUGCUUUUGUUGCCUGGAGUUGUUGAAGGGUAUUAUCUUUUGGUGGCAGAAAAUUUUCCUCCACGUGUUCCUAUUUUCUGAAAAUAUUUUCUUUCAAUUAAUUUAGUUCCACACAUUUUGGUUGGCACGUUUGAAUAUAUAACUAUAUUAUGGUAUAAAUGCAGGUAGAAGACUAAUAAAAAGGGGCAGUUGUAGGGAUCCAGCUAUCUAGUGUUCCUCUGAGAAGUAAAUUUUGAAAGAAGAAACAUUCAAUUAGAUUUCAAGAUUGUCAAAAAACCACGCUGCCAAUAAACUGUGGACGUGCAAACAACAGACUGUUGGAGCGGAGAGGAAAGAGAGAAGGUUGCACAAUUGCUGACUGUGCUUAAAAGAGCCAGCGGGAUUAAAGGCAAAGAAAAAGUUUUUCAAAUAUAUUGAAAAAAGAGUUAUACUAGAAAGUACGACUGAAAAUAAAUAGGGAGGGAAAAAUCCAUGUUACUGACAGUGGCUUAAGAUUGAACUGGUUUUAAAAAUCUGUGUCUGACAAGGCAAACAUAUUUUGGGCAACUAGGACAUAAUAAAGACCUGGUUUAUUAGAAAAUGAUUUCAGCAGCUGAUGGCAUUUCUGCAUACUAAUAGGCAGGACUUAGAAUUUUCAACCAUGCCUGCUGCUACCUGUACUAAAAUGUCUAUAAAGUAAUUUGCCAUCUAAGCUACUACCUUUACCCAGGAGUGAAGCCUGAUUUUGCCUUCAGCUCCCGAUCACUUUCAUGAAAUUGAAAAAUCAGGUAGAAUGUGUGAAGUCUCAAAGGACUGAUAAAAAGACCGGCAACCAAAGCUGUGAGUUUUAACCCUAUUCUUGCCAUUGUCUUCCUCAGUGUCACCAUAACCUUUGCACACUUGUGUUUCUAAUGUGUGAUGAUUACACUCCCCUAGCAAAAAUAUGUGGCUCAGGAGAGUUUAACGUGUCAUAAAGUGUUUCUGAAAUAUACGAUUAGGAAGAGAAUGGGGUGACGUCAGUAAGAAUUAAGUUAUUGAGUUUAAUCAACCCAGAGGCAAUGUGACUAAGUAACUAGGUGCAGUCUAUGUAGACAAACUACCUUGAUUUUAACUCCUGUCUUAUUGUUUUCUAGCUGUGUAACCCAGGGCAAAUGACUUAACUGCUCUAGUUCCUUAUCCAUAAAACUAGACUUAACUAUUGUAAGGGAUACCUAAGACAAGACGCACAGUGCUCCAUAAUGCCAGUUAUAAUUAUGAGAGAAAAAUCUUCUUAGACUCAAAGACAAAAUGAGAAAUACUGAGACUACAUUUGCACAUGUGAGAAGAAACUGAGCUUACAAAAGUUGGGCCCUAAACCAUAUUUUAAGAAUACAGUAACUCAAUGGAAGUUGAAUCAAUGUCAUGUAAAUAAUGAGUGUUGCACAGCCUGCCAUAUGUCUACAGCCCUCAAAGGUAAAGAUUAAAUGCUGAACUCUGAAGUUUGCUUUCCGUUGAUGGUGGAUGGAUGGGAGGACACCAGGGGGUAAACAAUGAUGUGAUUGCCUCGAUUGUACCUGUAGGGUUUUAUGAAAUCUUCAUAUAUGGAGGUAACUGAGUGAUGACGUGAAGAGGCUAACACCAUUGAAAUAACGCCAUUUAUGGCCAGGUAUGGCUGGCACCUAUAAUCCUAGCACUUUUGGAGGCCAAGACAGGAGGAUUGCUUGAGCCCAGAAGUUUGAGACCAGCCUGGACAAGGCCCCCAAGUCUACAAAAAGAUUUAAGAAACAAAACAAAAAGUUACUUUGGUAGGAUGAUGCAUGCCUGUAGCUCCAGGACACAGUAGGCUGAGGCAGGACAAUGCUUGAACCCAAGAGGUUGAGCUUACAGUGAGCCGUGAUCAUACCACUACACUCCAGCCUGGCUGACAGAGUGUGACUCUGUCUCCAAAAAGAAGAAAAAUAUAUUACUUACAUUUUCCAAGAGGAAGGUGCGUGUCACACCAUGGAGGGCCACAUCAGGAAUCACUAUUGUUGAGCAGGAGUGACUGUUUUUAUUUUGUGUGUGUGUGUGUGUGUUUCUUUUUUUUGAGAAAGGCAAGACAUUCUGGAAUCUCACAUUGCUUUAGGAUUGGUUAGUUUGAAUAGUUCUGGUGGGUUUGCGGGCAAAGGAUCUUUUCCUUAUUGUCUGGUGUGUGGUUACUGGUUGAUUUAGAGCAAAGAGAAUUUUGGAUUGGUGUGAAUUUGAUUAAGGAGAUAGUUGGGAAUUUGGAGUGAUUGGUUUGCAUAUGAAGACAGGAUCUGGAGAGCCCUUUGCUAUUUCUAAAAAUUGAUUAGCCCUGGUAGGCACCGUCUUUCUCCAAUUAGUGAGGCCAUAAAUGCCACAGGAUCAAAAAUAUAAAAAUAAGAAAAGAUGGUUAAUACAAUUGGCCCUGUGAAUAGUGGAAGUCAAAUAGACAACUAUGGAAACUAAGAAAGCAUAGUUAGAACCAUGAUAAAUAAGCAACUCUCUAGUAUUUUAUGAGGUGGGUAAAAGAAAAAAAUAGAGUUAGAUGUGGGUCUUAUGGAGCGCUGGUGGGUGAGGUAUGAAAAAAUUGCAGCAUUCAAAGGAUGGUUAGGGGUAGGUCUCAAUGAGAAGAUGAGUGUUAAGGCAAGACUUGAGCCAAGACUUGCCUCCAAAUAGAGAUUUGAAUACUUUAGAAUUCUAGCAAGACACAGAAAAUGAACACAUCAAUGAACAGGAUGCUCUCAUUCAUUCAUUCAUUCACUCACUCAUUCAGUUGGUUGGUCAAUCAGUCAGUUAGAUAUUAAAGAAAUAUUUAUCAAGUACCCACUAGGCCAGGGACCAAAUAGACUUUGGGGUUACAAUGGUGAACACUGUAGAAACAGACUCUACCAUCAUGUAGCUUAUCAGUUAGUUGAAGAGACAAAUAUUGACUUAAUGGACACGCAAGUAAAUACAAGCACACCUUGUUUUGUUGUGCUCCAUUUUGUUGCACUUUGCAGAUAUGAAAUCUUUUCCAAAUUGAAGGUUGGUAGCAAUUGUGCAUUGAGCAAGUUGAUUAGUGGCAUUUUUCCAUGGCGUGUACUUACUUCAUGUCUCUGUAUCACAUUUUGGUAAUUAUCAUGAUAUUUGUAAAUUUCUCAAUAUUAUUAUAUUUUUUAUGGGGAUCUAUGUGUAAUGCUCUUUGAUGUGAUUAUUUUAAUUGUUUUUGUUAAUCUGCACACAUCUAAGAUAGUGAACUUAAUAAAUGUGUAUGUUCAGACUAGUCCACUGACCAGCCAUUCUCUCAUCUCUCUUUCUCACCUCAGACCUCCUACUCCCUGAAACACAAUCAUAUUAAAAUUUAGGUCAAUUACCAAAUAAUCCAAAAAGAAGGAAUCUUAAAAAAAAAAAAAAAUUUAGGUCAAUUAGUAACCUUACAAUGAUCUCUAGGUCUUCAAGUGAAAGGAAGAGUUUCAAAUAUCUCACCUUAAAUCAAAAGUGAAAACUUAUUAAACUUUGUGAGAAAGGCAUGUUUAACCCAAGACAGGCCAGAAGCUAGGACACCUGAACCAAACAGCCAAGUUGUGAAUGCAAAGGAAAUUAAAAGAGCUACUACCAUGAAUAUAUGAUUAUAAAGAAAGUGAAGCAGCUUUAUUGCUGAGGUGAAGAAAGUUUGAGUGGUCUAGAUAGACGAUCAAACCAGCUGCAACCUUCAUUUAAGACAAAGCCUAAUCUAGAGCAAAACUUUAGCUCUCUUCAAUUCUUUGAAGGCUGAUAAAGGUGAGGAGGCUACAAAAGAAAAGUCUGAAACCAACAUAGAGGUUGGUUCAUGAGGUUUAAGGAAAGAGGCCCUCUUCAAAGCAUGAAAGUGCAAGGUGGAACAGCAAGUGCUGAUGGAGAAGCUGCAGCACAUUAUCCAGAGCAUUCAGCAUUUAGCAUUCGUUGAUGAAGAUGGCUACACUAUACAACACAUUUUCAGUGUAGAUGAAACAGCCUUCCACUGGAAGAAUUACGGAGUAAGUAACUACAGAUGUAUUGGACAUUGCAAUAGAAAUAGAAUUAGAAGUGGAACUUGAAGAUGUGACUGAAUUGUUGCAAUCACACAAGAAAACUUUAAUGGAUGAAGAGUUGCCUCUAUGGAAGAGCAAAGACAGUGAUGUCUUAAAAAGAAAUCUACUCCUGGUGAUGACGCCAUGGACAUUGUUGAAAUGAAAAUAAAGGAUUUUGAAUAUGACUGUAAAUUUAAUUGAGUUUCGCAGCAGCAGGAUUGGAAAAGACUGACUCUGACCUUGAAAGAAGUUCUGCUGUGGGUGAAAUGCUGUCAAACAGCAUUAAAUACUUUAAAGAAAUGAAAGGAAGAGUCAAUUGAUGUAGCAAACUUCAUUUUUGACUUUUCUUUUUAGAAAUAGCCACAGCUCCCUCAACCUUCGGCACCCACCACCUUGAUCCAUCAGCAGCCGUCAAAGUUGAGGCAAGACACUCUACCAACAAAAAAACUAAACAAAACCAAAACUGCUCCCUAAAGGCUUAGAUCAUUGUUAGCAUUGUUUAAGCAAUGAAGUCUUUUAAAAUUCUAUGUAUAUGAUUUUUGUGAGUCAUAAUGCUAUUGCACACUUAGUAGACUACAGAAUUGUGUAAACAUAACUGUUAUAUGCACUAGAAAACCAAAAAAAGGUGUGUGACUCACUUUAUUAUGAUACUUGUGGACUGCACUAUCUCAGAGGUAUUCCUGUAUUUAAUUGGGACUGGACAGUAGCUAUCCAGUGUUAGGAAAGCCUGUAAUAAGGCUGUUUGAUUUAGCUCAGAAAGUCAGGAAAGGGGCCGUUGAGAUAUGAAGAAUAACUAGAUGCUGACCAGUCAAAAAAGGGAGAGAAGAUUAUCUUUGUAGAAGAAACACCUUGUGCAAAAUCCAUGAGAUAGAAGUUUAAGGGGUAGGAGGCAAAUGGAGAGACGAACGUAGUCCACGGUGCAGAUGAGGCUGAAGGCGUGUGCUGGGGGAAGGUAGUGACCAAGUAGAGCCUUUCGCACCUCAUGAUGCAGUUUUACAGAGAGCAACGGACAGUGGAGGAAGAACUUUAAGCUGAGGUAUCGCUUGACCUUCCCUGGCUUUGAGAAUGGAUAUAGGUAGAACGUUGAGAGGGCCAGAGUCUAGGUGGGUGAUGGAGAUUGCUCGGAUCAAGAGAGCUACGGUGCAGACAAAGAAGAAGGAAAUCGUCUUGAUGAUGCAUUUGACAUGAGUGAGGAAACAUGAGUUACCAGUUAUGAAUUCUGGGUCUCUGGCUUGUGAGUGUGGGUUGAUGUGGUUCCAUUCAUUGAGAUGGGAAGCACUGGAAAGGGAUCAGAUCUUUGGGGAAGGUCAUGGAAUUGAUUUUGGACAUAACAUUAUUGAGAUUCCUUUGAUACAUGUGUGUGAAGGGUUCAGGGAGGCAGUUAUUUCUAUGAGUCAGAUCUUCUGAGGAGAGAUGCAGCCUCAAGAGGCAUGGAUACACCCGGAGUAUCUGUUCCCUCUAGAAACGAAUUAAAACUCCUUUUCCAGAUCCAGACUCUGAGCCAGCCAUGCCAACACAGGAAACCCCACUGAAGCCCUGGCUUUUUGUCUACUACCAGAAAUAUCCCAUUGUUUGUAAGUUGGCCAUUGAAAAGACCCCUCUCUACCAAUGUAGGCAGGGACAAAGGCUGGGGGCCUUGGAAUGAACCUUUAUUUCUCUCAUCUGAAGGCCAUUCUGGAAUAGGAAUGUUUUUUCUUCCCCACUAUGAAGUCAUAAUGUACCCCUUGAACAUCCUCAGCUUCUUGACCUGUUAGAUGCUGGUUGUGUGCCUCUCUGCUUCCUACUAGGGGACAAUGUAGGUUGGACGUUAAAAUAGCUAAAACAUAGGAUUUGUAGGCAGACAAUAUCUGGAUGAAAUCUCAAUCUAUGACAAAUUUAACUACUUGAAGCUUCAAUGUCUUCAUUAAUAAGAUGGAAGUGAUCAUAUUCACCUAAUCGUUUUGUUUUGAGGACUGAAGAAGAUAACAUGGGCAAAAUGCUUUAGUACAACGCUACAGUGCCAAAACAUGAUAUGUUUUCUUCUUUAUCUUUCUUUCUUUUUUGUUUUUGAGAUGAAGUCUCGCCCUGUUGCUCAGGCUGGAGUGCAGGGGCGCAAUCUUGAUUUACUGCAACUUCUGCCUCCUGAGUUCAGAGGAUUCUCCCACCUCAGCCUCCCAAGUAGCUGGGAUUACAAGCAUGCACUACCUGGUACAGGUAAUUUUGGUAUUUUUAGUAGAGAUGGAGUUUUACCAUGUUGGCCAGGCUGGUCUCAACUUCUGACCUCAAGUGAUCUACCUGCUGCAGCCUUCCGAAGUGCUGGGGUUUCAGGCAUGAGCCACCAUGCCUGGCCUAAAACGUGAUCUGUUUUCAAUGAAUGAUAAUCAUGGCUUUAUUUAUUCUUAACCAUGCAUUCUGAUUUUGUGUCGUGGUGACUCAAUCUGAAAAUUGCCAUCGUUAGAAUUGAGGAGAUGAUAUAAAACAAAAAGUCAAUAUUGUGUCUAACUGUACAUUUUUAUGAAAAGAAGGAGAAAGCAUAUUUUAAAGACUAAAUUUUUAUUUGUGGAAGAUUUAUUAAUUUUAAAAUUUCAUCUACAGGCUCACAUGCAUACAAACCUACAGGUGCACAUACAUGUGUCCUUCUGUACAGGAAGUUGAUGGUUAUGGGAUCCACCCGAAGAUACCAACUCCAACACAGGUCUUCGGGAAUUUGAUAGCAGGACCUCCAAGCCCUAAAUGCUUUUGAUGUCUCUUUUACAAGAUCUAAGAAGCUUACACAAAUCUUUCCAUUUAACUUUUUGUUUUCAUUUUAUAGGUGAUAAUUUUACUAACCAACCUCAGAAUCUGUUCUGUCUUGGUUAGCUCUAUUAACCAAUGCGCAGCCAGUGCUGGGAUAAGAUUGAUCUUUGGGAAUCUCCCGAGUCUGGUACAAGAUGGUCCUAGUGUUUGUCAUCCAUUCUUUCCUAGUUAGGUUUCAACUUCAAAUAUUUGUAUGUGUUUCUAGGCAGUUUUAGGAAAUGAAUUCAUCAAUUCUUUUUCCAAUCCGUCAUGAUUGAUUAUUAAUAUUGGCACAACUGUUAAAUCAUUAUUCCCUAAUCAGUCUAAUAUUUGGUAACAUGCUUUAUAAGGGUAAUUGUUAUUCUUAACUUUAUUCUGAUGAUCACCAGUGAUCACUGCAAUAAUUGUUCAUGCAAAAUUAAAUUAAAAUGGCCCCCUAACAAUUUCGUGUGGACAGCAUUCACAGUGGCACAGUUAUUUUUUCUUUAAUCUAGUCUCUUUUGCAGAAACUCUCACCAGUUAGGUAUGAUCUUUUCUGGUAGUAGGAGACACACAUGGUAUUGCUCCUUUGAUUCGAUUAUCAUUUCAAGCCAAAAAGCCACUCAGCUACUCCUAUUGCUUGGUUAUAAAAUAGCUAUUUUAUUUCCUUUCUUGUAUUUGCCCAUUCUUCAUGAAACAGCCUUCAGGUAAAUGACAGAGUCUUAACCCCAGCCCAUAAAAAGAGGCAAAGCAUAGCCUUCUCUAAAAUUUCUAGGCCUGAAUUUGGAAUCAGAGCCCUCUGGCAUUUUACUUUGUACAAAUUACCUGACUAGUUCAAGGCUCAUCAAUAAAUAGGAAUGAGAACACCUAUUCCAACCUCUGAGCCAUGUGGAGAGUAUUCGUCAGGAAAAUGUAAGCUUUGUAACCUGUGAGGUCUUGAAUACCUGUAAGCUGUUUUUCAUCAACUUCCUUUUAAAUAAAUAUAUCAGGAACUUAAAUCACACACACACACACACACACACACACACACACACACGCACACACACACACACACACAAAUCAAGGUAAUCAUCAUAUAUAUUGCAUUAGGUUCAUCCCUAAUUACCUGUAUUGUUCUCCCUUUGGUCAUUUUCUUCCAUUGCCUCUGCUGCAGACACAAAUGAACUGAAAGAACCUGGAGGUUUUCUUGGCACAUACACACAUGGACUCUCCCCAGCCAGUUACCAAUGUAGGUUUAACUACAAAGAAAUUGAGAGAAGGAAGAGAAUCUGAGCUGUAAUACUCCGUGGCUAGUCUAGGUUUCUGAUUAGCCACUGCCUUAUGCUGGUUAUUUUCAUCCUCAUUUCUGGAGGCCUUGAGCUUAUUCAUUAGAAUUUUCGCUAGCUAUUCAUUUUCUAAAUGCAGUCAUUUCUCUGCUAUGAUAUUGCCUGUCAAUCAAAAACAAGAUAAUGUUCACUAUUAUCAAUACAUUUUUUAUUUCUUUUUUCCAUUCAUCUUUUCCCAUUGGCUUUUUAAAAAGCCUUUCCUAUUAAUAAUGCUUUAUAUUUGGAUAAUACUUAACACACUCUCUCAGGUACAGCAUAUUGGUUAAUUUGAACCUCAAAACAGCAACCUACUUAAUGUGGCAUGGAAACCAGGAAUGGCUAUUAGCUACUUUGUUCUGUGAAUGAAGAAUCUCUGUUUUACUUUUUUGCUAGGUACUACUAGCAGAAAAGAGACUGAGAUCCUCUUUGCUGACCUCAAAAUAAUGUUUUUAACUGGACGUAACGCUGGGCGGGAUACUUUAACUCUCCUUGUUUCUUUUUCCUCAUUUACAACAAAUGGGGUAGAUUUGACCAUCUUCAAAGUCUGUUUAUCUUUAAAUUGGGGAUCUAUGUCAUAAAAUAUUUAUUGUGACCCCGUGUGGAGUGCUGCUAAUUCUAGAGCUGUGAAGAGUCAUAGGGCACCCUCACUGUCUUCUAAUAGCUACGAUACAGCUGGAGGGUAGCAGAUGCCGAUGAGAAGAUAAAUGAAGACCCGAGUUUAAUUUUCUAGGUCCUAUAUGACUGACAUGCAAAAGUAAGUGCUCUCAGGGAGGAGGGAAAGUCAUUAUUUCUCCAAACUAUUGGCAAAUGGAUUGACAUCUGGAUCUUGAAGUUUCAAAGUAAGGGAGAAGCCUUCCCCUUAACAUUAGCUAUAGACUGAUGUAAAGAGGAUUAAGGAUCAAAAGUGUAUCUAUGGAUAAAAGGAGAAUGUUUACAUUUAAAAAGUCAGUAUAAAGGAAAAUACAUUUGUGGGGUGGGGAGCAAUGUUCAUCAGUUUAAAAGCUAGUAUAAAACUUAUCUUGGAAAUUUUAUAAUAAAAGACCUCAAGCAAUUUUUUCACUUGUUUUAAUAUUCUGCAUUUCUUGAGCAUUGGAUGAAAAUAAAAAUUAAAGCAAGGCUCUAAGCAGAAAAAGAUAUGCAAGGAUAAUGGACAAUUUGGGGAAAUAGCUUUUAGGGCUGAAAUUUCUGUGUGUAUUUUUCCUGAGUGUAAUGCUUUUAAAGAUGGCGCCCUGUGAGUUACCAUGACAACCUACAGGUAUCAUCUUUAGAAGGCUAAGGCUACAGAUCUCAACUCAAAGUAUUUCAUCCAUACACUUUUGGAAAAAGCCUGUCGAUGACUGUAGAGGGAAUGCACAAACCAUGAAGUAGUCAAUGCUAUUAUGGCCCAUUUCUUUGAAAUAGUAUUAGUCUGGUUGAAGUUGCUUUUAUAGUUUUGAAGGACCUCUUCUUUCCAUUUCAUCGCUGCCUUUAAAGUUUGAAGCAUACUUCAUUUUCAGCUCCUUAUUGAAUGUCUCUUAAGACAAGGCAAAAAUAAAGGCUAAAGCUUAUUUCCUGUGUUCAUGAUUCUUUGAAAAAGGAAAAGAGGUUCAAGUGUUUUUGGUCAUACCAUAAUUUUGAAGUUGUUCUUCGUCCUUGAGCUGUGUUUUCUCAGGAUACUAUUUUUCGAAAUAAAUCCAGACAAAGAAUUGACAACUAACUUGCAGUUAUGAAGAAAAAAGCCAGAAGAUACAGAUGACAUAAAAGAUCCUCAGAAUGUAGUUGUUUUCUGUCAAGGUUGUAAUGAAGGCUGGUGAGACACUUCUUAGCAUGUAUGAGGGCGGAUUUGGAUUCUGGAUCUCACACUGGCAGCUGAAGCUAGACAGACCAGCAGCUCUGUGCAGACGUGUCACAGUUGUUGAUGGAUCUCGAUGCAUGCCUUGCCUCAGUGGUGUGGCGUUUUGCAGUUACAGCAGUGAUAAUCUGAUGCCCUGAGGAUGUCAAGUUGUUUGUCCUGAAGUGUGUGAGCCAUUUCCACUUACCAUUGGAAAACUGAGCAGUUCAAUCCAUGUGAAGAUGUUGACAGAUGAACAAAUGUCACUGGUGAGAAAGAAGAAUGGAUUAGGGGUUAAUGGGAAAGAGUAGGAGGUUUUGAAAAGAGUUAAGUUAAAUCUAUUUCUUUCAUUUUAUUGUUUGGAAUACAGGGAUGCCAUGCUAACUCACUGCAGCCUCAAACUCCUGGGUUCAAGGGAU